This 72-nucleotide transfer RNA is filed under the name Phrynosoma platyrhinos (Desert horned lizard). RNAcentral's name for it is "tRNA-OTHER". Lineage: Eukaryota; Metazoa; Chordata; Lepidosauria; Squamata; Phrynosomatidae. The record is from RNAcentral.
GCCAGUGUGGCAUAGUGGUUUGAAUGUUGGACUAUGACUCUGGAGACCAGGAUUUGAUUCCCAGCUCAGUCC